Long non-coding RNA from Physeter macrocephalus (sperm whale), 1390 nucleotides. RefSeq lists it as uncharacterized. The record is from RefSeq and is a predicted model, not a curated record. The transcript is spliced from 4 exons. NCBI's taxonomy places the organism in Eukaryota, Metazoa, Chordata, Mammalia, Artiodactyla, Physeteridae.
CCUCUCGAGGCCAUCGUAACAACUGAACUGAUGGCAGUGAGAGAGGGCUGCAGGUAAGAAGACCUGAGGGACUUUCAAAUACGAGGAGGAAUCUGAGGCAGGCCUGGAAAGACGGGCUUCUGAACAGGAUCCUUCAAAUUGACUCCAGGGAAAAGGAUACCCAAGUGGGAACUUGGGUCAAGCAAGCCUGGGACAGGAAGCACAGCUGGACUGUGUGGAACUGGGACGUCAUUAGGUGGUUUUCCUCUCCAUCCAUCUCUUUCCCUCUGAGACCAAGUUGUCUUUCCUACCUCCCUCUAUAUGUCUGUCCACUCUUCUCCCUGAAGGCUGGCUUCCUCUACUCAUGUAUCACCACACAUGGCUGCCAGCAGCAAGUGCAAAGGACCUUCUGAUUGCCAGCACCCACCACCUUCAGACUGCCUCAGCCUUCCGCUACAUAGUUCAGAUUCCCAGGGAAAUAAUCUGAUUGGCUUGGCCUAAUUCAGAAGGAAGAGACACCCAGGACCACAGCUGGAAGACCCUCCAUCUCUUGGCUCAGCUCCUGAUGCUUACAUAGAAAUGGGCAUCAUUCAAUGAAUGACCAACGUUAUCUACAAAAUGCCGUAAGACCCAGGGUAAUGGUCACACACCAGCACUGAGCUCCUGCCUGAAUUAUAAAACACAGAGAUUUUUGGAACAACAACAAAAAAAACCUCAUGACGGUUGACAACUCCAGAGGCCAGGCCUGAAACUCCAAGCCUGUCCCUACCUCCCAUUCUGGAUGGACCCGCGGAAGGAACAAGCAGCUCUGAAGGUGCCCAUGAGCACCCAAUUCCCCAGCCUGGUGAUUUGGGCAGGAUUGAUCCCAUCGUCAGCUCCAGGGGCAGUGGACUGGUGUUGAAGAACAGGCAGGUCCAGCCAGGACUCAGUGGAUGGGCCAACACGUUUCCUGUCUUGUUUGGACACUGAGCUGGAUUUUCUGUCAUUUGUAAGCCAAAGCAUCCCAACACAUCACCCAUGCAGAGUUAGUGGCAGAUGCCACUUCUUGACUCCCUGUCCACGGAUGUUUCUGCCGGAGUAAAGUCUUUAACAUUACAAAAUAGAGAAAACUAAUCUAAAAUAUAUAUAUACAAAUGGGGGACUUCCCUGGCGGUCCAGUGGUUAAGACUCUGCACUUCCGACGUAGGGCACAUGGGUUCGAUCCCUGGUCAGAGAACUAAGAUUCCACAUGCUGCGGAGGGCAGCCAAAAAACAAACAAACAAACAAACAAAAAUGAACUUAUUUACAAAACAGAAAUAGACCCACAGGCAAAAAACCCCAAACAUAGUUACCAAAGUGGAAAGGAAGGGAGGGAAGGGAUAAAUUAGGAGUUCGGGAUUAACAUAUACACACUACUAUAAUAUAAAGUAG